GGCCCUUGAGGGCAGAGACAAGAAAAAGAUAAUCUUAUCCUUCCCAAAAUGCCAGGUUCCCAAAUUUCAGUCGUAUUCAUGAAAAUGGAAAAUCGAGUUCGAUGAGGAAUGAAGAUGAUGAUUUUUUGCUAAGAUUCAAGCUUGGGUUUGACACUGUUACAUUUACAUUAUUUUGUACAUCAAAUAUGAUUCAAAUCAAGGGACAUGAUUUUAGGGCUCUUCUACAAAGACAGAGUAUGAUGACAGACCCUUUUGAUAGGGGCUGAGGCGGCUGGUACCUCAGCCCCUAUCUAGAAUUUUUCAUGAUUUUAAUACAUCAAGAAAUGUCAAAGUUGAUGUACAAAAGGAGUUUACAAUUAGUUUAUUUUUUCUUAGUAAGUUGCAAGACAAAUCACCAUACUACUUGUCAUAUGUAAAAUUUCAUUUCCUGAGAUGGACUCUGGAAAUUGUCGUUGGCCGACGGUAGUAGGGUGGGGAAAGAUGAAAUCUUUUUUAUUUCUUUAUUUCUCCUUCCAAGUUUGCCCAUAUAAUAAAAUGAAGGAGAAAUCCAACUAAUGGAAUUUAUCUAAAAGGACUGUUUGGGCGUCUAAAGACAUAGAUUCGGGCUCUCUUUGCCAAAAAUUAAACAUUAGGGACAUGAACAUAUGAAGUGAAAAAGUUAGGAACCAUUUGCGCAAAAUCCCUAUUUUUUCCAACUAGAAAAAGGAAUAAAAAAAUCAACAUCCAUCACAUGUCAUGAUUUGAUCUUCCCAUCAGGAAUGGGACUUCGAAUCACUGUAAUUCUCUGUAUUGAUAUCCUUUGUCUUCUAUUGUUUAAAUAUAUUUCUGUGGACAAAAUACAACUAACAAUUAAUUAAUUAGACAUCUCAACUUUUGAGAGAUAAUGAUUAAGCAGUUGUAUAGUUCAAUUUUUAUUUUUUCUAUUUAUUAUUAUUAUUAUUUUGUCAACUCCCGAUGAUAGAAUGAUGCGCCCCCUGUAAAAUUUCUGUAUAGCUUUUUCCUGUGCACCAAGCACAACUCUAAUAAUUAUGGAACGGUCUAAAUUCUCUUUAAUCUAGUUGGUUUGAGUACUUGUUCAAGAGAGUCGAUUAGAUUAAGAAAUUACUUAUAAUUAGCUUAUAUAAGUAAUUAUUAAAUGGCAAGAAUGCAUGGAGAUGGUGGUGAUGAUAAUAUAUGGAAUCGCGCAACCACACAUUGGUUUGUCAGAAAUUGCAUAGCCAAUUUGGAGUAGAUUACAUUUGCAUUUGUGUUGUACCACAGAACUGGGAAACAUCCAUGUGCGGGUGGGAGCGCCGCGCCAACACUGCGUGCAGUUGUACGGACUCAUAUAACAUGUGAAUUGUAAUUAUUUGUAAUGUUUAAAAUAAUGUUGGGGAAAAAAAAUCAUCUUAUCAAUAUGACAGUCAAGAAUGUCUCAUAAGCACCCGUUUAACAUGAUUUUUGAAAAAUAUAUUUCUAAGAUUAAGAAACUACUUUUGUACAUGUUUAAAAAACAUUCUGAGAGUAUUGUAUCAAGUUAGAGGAAAUUAGGCUAACUACCUCUCAAAAAUAACUAUUUUGAAUAAUACCCUAUAAAUUAAUUUAAUAACUUAAUCACGUCUUUUAUACUUUCUAAACUAUCAAAACCACAAAACUCGAUUCAAAUUCCUGAUACCCAAAAAUCUGGUAGCAUCCAUGGCAACUUCCUUCUUUGCCCAUUGAGAAAACUAAGCUCAAUCUUCGAUUCCAAUUACCCUUCGGAACCCAUUCCAACUAGGCCCUUGAGGGCAGAGUCAAGAAAAAGAUAAUCUUAUCCUUCCCAAAAUGCCAGGUUCCCAAAUUUCAGUCGUAUUCAUGAAAAUGGAAAAUCGAGUUCGAUGAGGAAUGAAGAUGAUGAUUUUUUGCUAAGAUUCAAGCUUGGGUUUGACGAGAAGAUAGGAAAAUAAAAUGCGUUCUGACGAGGAUAAUGUUAGUAGUAUCGGCCAGAAACCUGAAAAUGUUGAGC
RNAcentral lists this long non-coding RNA (1984 nucleotides) under Olea europaea (common olive). RNAcentral describes it as "long non-coding RNA (OEUR_LNC006763)". Lineage: Eukaryota; Viridiplantae; Streptophyta; Magnoliopsida; Lamiales; Oleaceae. The record is from RNAcentral.